Molecule: ribosomal RNA, 754 nt
Filed under: Bacillus sp. (in: firmicutes)
Lineage: Bacteria; Bacillati; Bacillota; Bacilli; Caryophanales; Bacillaceae
Description: bacterial SSU rRNA
Rfam family: Bacterial small subunit ribosomal RNA
Source: RNAcentral
CGAGCGGACAGAAGGGAGCUUGCUCCCGGAUGUUAGCGGCGGACGGGUGAGUAACACGUGGGUAACCUGCCUGUAAGACUGGGAUAACUCCGGGAAACCGGAGCUAAUACCGGAUAGUUCCUUGAACCGCAUGGUUCAAGGAUGAAAGACGGUUUCGGCUGUCACUUACAGAUGGACCCGCGGCGCAUUAGCUAGUUGGUGGGGUAAUGGCUCACCAAGGCGACGAUGCGUAGCCGACCUGAGAGGGUGAUCGGCCACACUGGGACUGAGACACGGCCCAGACUCCUACGGGAGGCAGCAGUAGGGAAUCUUCCGCAAUGGACGAAAGUCUGACGGAGCAACGCCGCGUGAGUGAUGAAGGUUUUCGGAUCGUAAAGCUCUGUUGUUAGGGAAGAACAAGUGCGAGAGUAACUGCUCGCACCUUGACGGUACCUAACCAGAAAGCCACGGCUAACUACGUGCCAGCAGCCGCGGUAAUACGUAGGUGGCAAGCGUUGUCCGGAAUUAUUGGGCGUAAAGGGCUCGCAGGCGGUUUCUUAAGUCUGAUGUGAAAGCCCCCGGCUCAACCGGGGAGGGUCAUUGGAAACUGGGAAACUUGAGUGCAGAAGAGGAGAGUGGAAUUCCACGUGUAGCGGUGAAAUGCGUAGAGAUGUGGAGGAACACCAGUGGCGAAGGCGACUCUCUGGUCUGUAACUGACGCUGAGGAGCGAAAGCGUGGGGAGCGAACAGGAUUAGAUACCCUGGUAGUCCACGC